This is an RNA transcript of Python bivittatus (Burmese python), 1994 nucleotides long. RefSeq lists it as uncharacterized. The record is from RefSeq and is a predicted model, not a curated record. NCBI's taxonomy places the organism in Eukaryota, Metazoa, Chordata, Lepidosauria, Squamata, Pythonidae.
CCAAAAAAGCUGGCACAGAGUUUCUCCAUUUUAAAAUACGAGUAACUUAGAAGAACAUCCCCCCGCCAGAGUUUUGGAGAGUUUCACGAUUUUUCCGGUCCCCCACCCGGCACCCCACUCCGACAACGACGGUUCCCUGCUGAAACGCCACUCCGUCCCUGUCUGAAGCAAGUAAGUCGAGCAGUUAUGAAACAGAACGCUAGAAAAACAAGCGAUCUUUUGAAACAGAACACGAAAACCGAGGAGGAACCACCUAGGGCAUCAAAAGUGGUCGUUUGUUUUCUCUUACCGGUAUGUCACGUUUGUUAUUAGAGUGACAUAACCAACGGAGGCAAGAAACCCGAGAUGGAAUCAGCCUGGUGAACUGGGAAUUCUCGCGAAAGAGCCAAGCGAACUUUUCUAAAUGUUUCGUCUUAUUCCGAGGGCCUACUCAAAGGCGAAAUCUCCGUCAUCUGAAAAGGCACCAGGGCAGCAACCCAGCGCCGACAGAGCCCACGGCCCGCAAGAGUCGCCCUCUCGAGAAACCCUCGCAGGUUUCCUGCGAGACCCAAACACACGCGCGCGCGCCCUCCACGCCUAGUCCCGUGACGCGAAGGGCGAAAUGGACUUGAGCCGCUCGCGGGGCACCGAACGAGACUCUCCGUUCUAGCAAGAGGCGCCACUUGUCAGCAGCUUUUUCUGUUUCAGUCGCCAGACUUUCCCACGUUGUUGUUCUUUCAAAGCAAAGCAGACCACAGCACGGCUAAACAAGGGAGCAAACGGGUUCCCCCACCAGUUCGCCGCCACACGGAAAGAGGGCUGGGGAGCUGGAGAGGACGGAGAGAGAAACGACGGGAAAGGUCAAGGCAAUGAAACAAACAGCUGGCCUAACAGCUAGAGGACCUGUGGAAGGUGACUCAAGAUGAAUCCAUUCAAGCAUGGCCUAGAAUCCUUAUUAAGGCCUAUGGCUCUGAAAGUGGCUUGUCCAUUCCUGAUGAGCCAAGAAGAAGUGACAAUUAGACACAUGCUGGCAUUUACUCUUCUGCUCAAAAACUGUGCUUGACAGGCAAGACGAAAUCUACCAAUACUUACCAAUUGAAUAAACAGAAGUGGGAUGGUGCCUCAGAAAUAUCACAAUUCCCAGAUGUAUGUUUUAAGGAACCAGGUCCAAGGAAAGCAAAAUGGAGGGUGUGAUUUUGGUCCAGAUGAAAGCAUUACCUCAAAAAGCUCUGGGUCACAUCAGGAAUCACCUUGUCAAGAAAGAACUUACUCAUGCUGGUUUACUAUAAAGUUCUGAUCUCUGCCCUCAGUUUUAACCAUUUCAAGAUCAUUUGUACUAUUACAUGGAGACCGAACUCUACUUUCUUAAACCCAUUCAGUGCUUCACCUCUCUUGGCACAGCGUAUGGUUUCCAUUCUGCGCAAUGCAUCAGGAUGCAAAAGAGAAGCAUGUUUUCCAGUUUCCCUUCAUUACGAGGGGCAGACCACCUUUGCCUGUAUUUCUUGGAACUGACCUCCUGGAACCAACGGGGCUGCCUGCCAGGAAAAUGUACGGAAGAUGGAAGAUCCAGAUUUCAGUUGUCUCAACAACACUGAUUCGCUUCAUACUUUAGAAUAAUACAGUUUUAAAUACAGAAUCCAGAGAUUACUGUCAUGCUUAAUAGUUAAAGCCAGUUCACAGAAGUUGUUACGCUGCUGACCCAAGACUACUGUACUGUCUUCAGAAAAUGUAAUACGGCCUGUUCUACGUACAAGGGUUGCACCCAUCUGGGAUGGGUGCCAGGCUCAAGUGUUCCCACAAUGCAGCUGGUUUUGGGGAGCAAUUCUGCACCUGAGUCAAUUACCUGGUGGUCCAAAGGAAAGAAGCAAGGAUUACAGCACUGCUUUUCUGAAGUUCCAGAGCAGGAGAUUUCCCACUGAUUGGAAUUCUCACUUCAUUUUGUCUGCCAGCUCCUCAGAUCACCCUCCUCCAUGAAGGAGUCAAGGUAUAGUUGUGCCUUGUUUCUGUUUUUCCUU